This is a long non-coding RNA of Antechinus flavipes (yellow-footed antechinus), 1229 nucleotides long. RefSeq lists it as uncharacterized. The transcript has 3 exons. The record is from RefSeq and is a predicted model, not a curated record. Lineage: Eukaryota; Metazoa; Chordata; Mammalia; Dasyuromorphia; Dasyuridae.
CCGGCAUCCUGACGUCCCCCGGCCGGCCCCGGCCCCGGCCCCGGCCUCCUUCCCGGGCCGGCCACCUGCGCUCGCUGGAGGACCUGCCGGCUCGCAGAGAGGUUCUCUUAGCCCGAGGGCGGCGGCUCCAUCGCCCGCACCUGCCCCGGCUCCGCCCCGCCCAGCCCGUCAGCCUACCCGGGGGUUGUCAGCAGUGCCCGCCCGGGUGGCCCGAGCUGCCGCUGCCGCCGCUGCCACCACUGCCACCGCGCUGGCGGAUGGGACUUGUAGUCUGCGCGGCUCCGGCGUGACGGCCACCCCUCCCCCUUCCCUCCCCCGCGAAGAUCCCAGCCCCCCGGAGCCGACUUUAGCCUUCCGAGGAUGGGAAAACCAAGGCCCAAUCAAUCAAAAAGCAUGGAUUGAACACCUACUAUGUGCCAGAGACGGAUCUAACCAUGAGGUAAAAUGCAGCCCCCCCCUCAUCCCAUUCCAGUGGGGGAGACAAUAUGCAAACAACAAGAUGCAGCUCAAGGUAUUGACAAGAUAGAGAGGAGGUAUAUGGGAAGGAGAGAUAUUUCGCGGAAUUGGGGGACAUCUUGCAGAAAGGGGGCUUUGAGUUGAGACCUAAAGGAAGCCGGGAUGGCAAGUGGCUGAGUGUACUCUAGGUACAGAUCACCCAGGAAGCCAUGGAUAAAAUAUGUCUUGACAUCCUCAAGUCUUCUUUAAAUUCUCUUGCCUCUCCUGGGAGUAGCUGUCAUGGAGGUAACACUGAAGGUUUUGGAAGCUCCUGGCGAGGACCCUCGAUUCCACCUCUAGUGCAGACCUGCCCUUUCUCAACAAUUCAGAUUGUUAGAAUAGAAUUGAUUAGUCCGAGAAAUGAGAUGAUUAUUUGGUAAGGGAGUGGGACAUGAAGCCAGGUCUUUCUGAUUGAGGUCAGUGUAAUGUUGAAAAGAGACAUGAUUUCUGGGUAAUUGUUUUAUUAAUGCUAUUAGCGUAUUCCCAAUAAAAUGGGUCAGUGACACUCUCAAAUGUUGAAUACAAAUCAUGGUGGGCUCACAGUUUUGUUUUGUUUUUUAAUAGCUUUUUAUUUACAAGAUAUAUGCAUGGGUAAUUUUUCAGCAUUGACAGUUGCAAAACUUUUUGUUCCAAUUUUUCCCCUCCUUCCCCCCACCCCCUCCCCCAGAUGGCAGGUUGACCAAUACAUGUUAAAUAUGUUAAAGUACAAUGUUAAAUACAUAUGUUAAAUACAA